AUACGGAGGGUGCAAGCGUUAUCCGGAAUCACUGGGUUUAAAGGGUGCGUAGGCGGCCCGUUAAGUCAGCUGUGAAAUCGCUGGGCUCAACCCAUGCAAUUGCAGUUGAUACUGGCGGGCUUGAAUGGGGUUGAGGCUGGCGGAAUGCGACAUGUAGCGGUGAAAUGCUUAGAUAUGUCGCAGAACACCGAUUGCGAAGGCAGCCAGCUGGGCCUUUAUUGACGCUGAGGC
RNAcentral lists this ribosomal RNA (231 nucleotides) under uncultured bacterium. RNAcentral describes it as "partial 16S ribosomal RNA". It matches the Rfam family "Bacterial small subunit ribosomal RNA", at positions 523 to 752 of the family's 1533-position model. The record is from RNAcentral.